This 253-nucleotide ribosomal RNA is filed under the name uncultured bacterium. RNAcentral's name for it is "partial 16S ribosomal RNA". It matches the Rfam family "Bacterial small subunit ribosomal RNA", at positions 524 to 776 of the family's 1533-position model. The record is from RNAcentral.
UACGUAGGCAGCGAGCGUUGUUCGGAAUUACUGGGCGUAAAGAGUGCGUAGGUGGUGCUCUAAGUUUGGUGGGAAAUCUCCCGGCUCAACCGGGAGGGUGCAUCGAAAACUGGAAUGCUCGAGGAUGGGAGAGGUAAGCGGAAUUCCUGGUGUAGCGGUGAAAUGCGUAGAUAUCAGGAGGAACACCUGUGGUGUAGACAGCUUACUGGACCAUUUCUGACACUGAGACACGAAAGCGUGGGUAGCAAACAGG